UCUACGCAUUCAACACCAUGAUCACAUGUGAUGCCGACCUCUGGAUGUCAGUCCAUGUUUCCUGGGGUCAUGUCAUGACUCGUGGGUAUGGCGGGGGAGCCCUCUCCGUCAGCACCUGGAAGCAAAACUUCGGCUUGCUUGGAGACUCCAGCUAUACAUUAGAACCGUGGUUCCUGACACCAGUGCCCGGACGACCAGCUCGUGGCACCCCUGAUAACCAC
Molecule: long non-coding RNA, 221 nt
Organism: Rhipicephalus sanguineus (brown dog tick)
Lineage: Eukaryota; Metazoa; Arthropoda; Arachnida; Ixodida; Ixodidae
Exons: 3
Source: RefSeq, a predicted model, not a curated record